GGAGUCGUUCAGACGGCCGCGUCUGCGCGUUUUAUGGAACGGGCGGAUGAGGAAAGUCCGGACACCAAGGACAAGGGCGCUGGGUAACUCCCAGGGAGAGCGAUCUCACAGACAGCGCAACAGAAAGCAAACCGCCGAUGGACCCGCUUCGAAAGGACGCGGGUAUCAGGCAAGGGUGAAACGGUGGGGUAAGAGCCUACCAGCAGGCGCGGCGACGCGCUUGGAUCGGCAAGCCUCGCCCGGUGCAAGACCGAAUAGAGGGGCUAUUGGCAGUCCUGCCAGCCCCCGGGUUAGGUCGCAAGAGGCGCAGCAGCAAUGCGCGCCCCAGAUGAAUGGCCGCCGCCCGCAGGCGCGAAAGCAAGCGCGGGAACAGAAUCCGGCUUACGACCGGCUCCCGCC
RNAcentral lists this RNase P RNA (399 nucleotides) under Candidatus Poribacteria bacterium. RNAcentral's name for it is "RNase P RNA component class A". It matches the Rfam family "Bacterial RNase P class A". Rfam says of the family: Ribonuclease P (RNase P) is a ubiquitous endoribonuclease, found in archaea, bacteria and eukarya as well as chloroplasts and mitochondria. Its best characterised activity is the generation of mature 5'-ends of tRNAs by cleaving the 5'-leader elements of precursor-tRNAs. Lineage: Bacteria; Candidatus Poribacteria. The record is from RNAcentral.